Molecule: long non-coding RNA, 2354 nt
Filed under: Homo sapiens (human)
Lineage: Eukaryota; Metazoa; Chordata; Mammalia; Primates; Hominidae
Description: HSALNT0393771
Source: RNAcentral
CCUAGGAAGGGGCAAGGGUCACUACAAUGUUAAUUGGUGUCUGCAGAUCAGACCCAUUUUUCUAUAGUGAAUAAUUUAAAAACAAUGUCAUUCAUUAAAUGAACCAAUGCCCUUGACUUCUUAAAAGAGGUGAAGGGAAUUAAUCACAGUAAGUUCUCUGAACAUAAAAAUUAACUAAGUUUAUAGUGCUGGAACUGAUGUGUGUGCGAUAACAGUACAUUAUAUUUGAAAGGAUGACCAGAAGACAGCAGCAGGAAUUAAACUAAAGCCAAGAAACUGAGCACAGCUCCUUGGACAAAUCUUAAUCUUGGCUGAUGCCAUAUCUGGUGGGGGUGAGCUGAAGUGUACUUCACUGUGCAUAGAGAGAGAAACCUGCUUUUGAAACUCCUUCCAGAAGCAUACUAUCUUUUCAUUUUUCCACCACAAAGAGAGCUCCCAGAUGAUUAUGCACUCUUCUGCCCAGUGAACAAAAGGAAGCAUAAUCUGGACUAACUACAGGUUGAAUAUCCCAGGUUCUUCUCAGGUUAUGGUUGGCUGAGCUAUACUUAUUGAACACCUGCUGUAAAUAACCAUCAUGAAGAUGAAGCCUUGUAGGUUCCAAUUGUGGUUUACCCACAGAGUGUUCUGGGCAAAUCACUCUGUGAUUCUGUUUUCCGUGUCAUUAAAAGAGGAGAGUAUUACCACCCUCCUAAAAUGGGUAUUGUGAGGAUUAAAUGGAAACAAAAUAGGUUUUGUGGAAAUUGUAAAUGUUACCUUAACACUACACCAAUGUUAGUUAUUUUUUCCCAGUAUCUGAAAUUUGGGAGGAAAGAAUAAAAGACAGAAAAAUGAAAAAGAAGAGGAAGAGAAGGAAGAAGAGAGGAAGGACAUGUUUGCUUCUCCUGCCAUGGCUGGAAGUUUCCUGAGGCCUCCCCAGCCAUCCUGAACUAGGUACCUGGUGCCAGUUCCUGAGACUUGAGGAUUCUGGUUGGUUCUCAGCACAGGAGUCAGCCUGCUCUGAUUUGCUAGUGCGUCUAGAGUGUUGACAGUUGUUUCCAUGGACUUCAAAUCAACCCAACCCUGUGAGCACAGACUUUCAGCACCAGAGUCAGAUUUCCCAAAAAUGCUAUUCUUGAAGCGUAGAGCCAGACUCACAGAUCCUGUAAAGAAAACAGAUCUUUCAGCAAGUGAAACACCCAAUCUUCCAUUGCAUGGGACUCACAGAGGUUCUGAGGGAGAGAUGUGAAUAGAAGGAGUGAUCAUCACUGUGGACUCUAUUUCUUCCAUCUGUGCGUGCAAGAUUUAUAUCUGUAUGUGUUUGUUUUAAAGUUUUAUUGAGGUAUAAUUGAUACACAAUAAUCUGUACCUAUUUAAUGUAUACAAUUUGAUGAGUUUGGACAUACUUAAAUACCUGUGAAACCAUCACCACAAUCAAGGUAAUAGACAUAGCCAUCACCUCCAAAAGUUUCUUUGUGUCCCUUUGUGGUUUGUUUCUGAGAUAAGAACACUUAACAUGUGGACUCUUGACACUCUCCUUGGAUCUCUUAAUUUGAUUGCUGUUGCUGUCACCACAUUGACUUCCUAGCCCUGCUGAUCCUCCUUUAUCACUAGCUCUAGAAAAAAAAACAAACCAAACACCACUAAUUCAUUUAUUCAGUAAUUCAACAAAAAAACCAUUGAGCACUUAAUAUUUGCAGAAUACAUGGCUAGAUGCAGAGGAUUCAAAGAAUUGAGUGAAGUCACAUAAAGUGUUAAGAACAGUGUGUGAUACAAACAUGAAAUAUGUUAGCUGUUAGAAUUUCAAACUCACUUCCAUAUCAAUUAUAAUAAGGAUUUCCAUAAAUAGCAGAAUAGUAUUUCUAUUAGAUGCUCACAGAUGCUAAUAAAACAGUAGAAUGGUAAAAACCAUGCAUCCCCCAAGGCAAGAGAAGGUGAGCUAUUUUGCCUCGGUGGCUCAAUAUUCCAUCAAUGGGUCCUGCUUUAAACUGCAAGUACCUGCCUUCCUUCUUUCAACAGACUGACUCCACGUUGCUUUAGGAAAGAUUCACUGAAACAAAGGAAUAAACCACCCAAGAUAUAGUGUUUUUAAAAACAUUUUUUAAUGAAGAAAUUAUUCCACUCCAAAAUAUAGACACACAAUUAAAUAGUUUAAUCACUUCAAAAUAUAACAUGUCCCCAGGAGGUUCCAACACACACACACACACACACACACAAAACAAUACUUAACAGCAAUACAAAAAUCCAUACAAUAGUAUUUUUUUUUUACAAUACCAAUGAAUAUUGUGAAAUCUUUAGUGUCUCUGAAUUGAUUAUUUCAAAUGGUGUCAAAUUGCAGUAGUCAUAAUUAAAAAUGUCUUACAGUUAAUUCGCCUCAA